UGCGAUUGAGCCCCCCGGCAGCCACCGCUACCGUGACAUGGUCGAUGAUGCCUCGCGGCGCUUCUAUAGCCGCCAUACCCACCGUCGCACUCCACCACCACCGUGGCCCCUCUCUCUCUCUCUCUCUCUCUCUCUCUCUCUCUCUCUCUCUCUCUCUCUCGCCCUCUCUCUCUCUCUCUCUCUCUCUCUCUCUCUCUCUCUCUCUCUCUCUCUCGCCCUCCAGCCCCGAUGCGAACAAGGCCAGGUUGUGGUGGAGUUAUCUGCUGCUGCUGCAGUUGGGUUUAGGAGUUAGCUGCUUUCGUGCACUGGUGGCUGCACCAGAUUCAGUAGCGUCUGCAACUGUCCUUGAUAAAAGCUCGCUCAGCUGUUUCUUGGGAGAGCAACUUCCCUCCCCUUUGACAUUUCCUUUGAAGAUCGAAGCCCUUUGACUCGGGGUUUUUUUUCGCGGAUGGGGAUCCUUCCUUCGGUGGUAGUAGGCUGGGCAGAACUGGCGGUGGCUCCAAAAAUUUCCAUAACUGAAGUGGCCAAAAUUUAAUUUCUCCUCUUUUAGGAAAAAAAAAAUGUGAUCUUUUGGCACCUCCUUGAUCAAUAUUAGGAGCGGGUAUCUUUAUCUUUAUCUUUGAAUUUGAAGGUAUUUUCGUAAGAGGCAAAUUAAAAAGGUGAUCACCCAGCUGAUCAGUGGAUAAUUUUUGCAUAUGUUGGAGGAAUCCUGGGCUUUCUGUCCGGAUUUUUAGGAAUACUCGCAAGAUAACCUUGAAGUAAAGAGGUAGAGGCUAUGGAUACAGUAGAUUGAUUGUGCCGAGAGGACGACGAGUGAUCUGUCGAUUGGCCCCUGAAUGGGGGUAAUUAACAUUGAACUAUAUGAGUCCCAAGGAAGGCAAAGGAGGUGAUGAAGAUCCUUAAGAAGCUGCCUGGGGAAUAAAGAUCCAAAAAUACAGCUUCUGACCCUCUAUGUCAGUAUCAUGCUCUGCUUUCUUAUAUGUGCAUAGUUCUGGAUCCAGUUGCUCUCUUCUUUUCUUUCUUCUAAAUGGCUACAAGAGUCGGCUAUCACUUGGCCAAAAUAUUUGGUUAUCAAUUUCAAGUAGGUGUUGGAGACUCUUAGCAAAAACUGUGGCAAUAGUGUAUUUCAGAAUAUUAUUGAGUCUGAUAUCCUACAGGAAAUGGUUAGAAUGGUGUUUAAAAAGGUGCCCACUCUAUAUCCCAUGAUUGACUUUUAUUCUGAAUCUGUUCAUUUAUGAGAUUGUCAUUUGCUGUUUCUACAUGCUCUGUGCAGCCAUAUUCUGAAUCUGCUAAUUUAUUGACC
Molecule: long non-coding RNA, 1303 nt
Organism: Syzygium oleosum
Lineage: Eukaryota; Viridiplantae; Streptophyta; Magnoliopsida; Myrtales; Myrtaceae
Exons: 3
Source: RefSeq, a predicted model, not a curated record